UACGUAGGGGGCAAGCGUUGCUCGGAAUCACUGGGCGUAAAGGGCGCGUAGGCGGCCAUUCAAGUCGGGGGUGAAAGCCUGUGGCUCAACCACAGAAUUGCCUUCGAUACUGUUUGGCUUGAGACCGGAAGAGGUAAGUGGAACUGCGAGUGUAGAGGUGAAAUUCGUAGAUAUUCGCAAGAACACCAGUGGCGAAGGCGGCUUACUGGUCCGGUUCUGACGCUGAGGCGCGAAAGCGUGGGGAGCAAACAGG
Molecule: ribosomal RNA, 253 nt
Filed under: uncultured bacterium
Lineage: Bacteria
Description: partial 16S ribosomal RNA
Rfam family: Bacterial small subunit ribosomal RNA
Source: RNAcentral